UCAGUCAGGAAAAAGAGGGCAGGCUGCGC
This 29-nucleotide small RNA is filed under the name Bombyx mori (domestic silkworm). RNAcentral describes it as "ovarian small RNA-1997". The record is from RNAcentral. Lineage: Eukaryota; Metazoa; Arthropoda; Insecta; Lepidoptera; Bombycidae.